RNAcentral lists this long non-coding RNA (902 nucleotides) under Rattus norvegicus (Norway rat). RNAcentral describes it as "long non-coding RNA NONRATT001017". The record is from RNAcentral. Lineage: Eukaryota; Metazoa; Chordata; Mammalia; Rodentia; Muridae.
CGUCUCUCCAAUGCCACUUCCUCCAUGAACCUGCAGGCAUUUUAUCUGGGGUCACCUAUAGGGCACAGCACAGCGUAGGAACUCAACCAAGGACCAACUUCUUUUUUUUUUUUUUUUUUUUUUGGUUCUUUUUUUCGGAGCUGGGGAUCGAACCCAGGGCCUUGCACUUCCUAGGCAAGCGCUCUACCACUGAGCUAAAUCCCCAACCCCAAGGACCAACUUCUUAACGCACAGCUAACUAGCCUACAUUUGGCAAAGGCCCAGAAGCAGUGUUUGUGGGAGCUCCCGGGAAGCACCCAAGAGCCUUUCAAUUAAAAUUCUCAGACAUAGGGAAGACCCUGACCAUGGGGAGAGUUCCAUCAAAGACAUGCUUCUACUCACCCUGACACUCCUGGCCGACCUUUAUGUCUCGGACAUUGAAGUGGAUAACUACACGGUCCUCCUCGUCCUGUGCCGUCUCAUCGUGGUAGUAACCCAGCGUGCCAUCCAACCACAGAGCAAACCAAUUCCGCUUCCAGCGGCGGAGGAUGGAGCCUGCAUGAUAUUCCAGACCCACCAGGGAAGCUGAGCCCUGAGCCUGCUAGGGUUUGCAAGAGCUCUGGGCCCCAUUACUAUCAUUUCUUUCUUGCCUCUCUACCCUCUCACAUGAGGACAAGGCAUAUAUAUAUAUUUAUAUAUAUAUAUCUGCCAGCCACCAGCCUGACACACAGUAGAGGCUCAAUAAAAGUGUUGAACUGGGCUGGAGAGAUGGCUCAGUGGUUAAGAGUACUGACUGCUCUUCCAGAGGUCCUGAGUUCAAUUUCCAGCAACCACAUGGUGGCUCACAACCAUCUGAUGCCCUCUUCUGAUGUGUCUGAAGACAGCUACAGUGUACUCAUAUAAAAUAAAUAAAUAAAAUCUAC